RNAcentral lists this ribosomal RNA (107 nucleotides) under Klebsiella pneumoniae. The record is from RNAcentral. Lineage: Bacteria; Pseudomonadati; Pseudomonadota; Gammaproteobacteria; Enterobacterales; Enterobacteriaceae.
GCCGGCGGCACUAGCGCGGUGGUCCCACCUGACCCCAUGCCGAACUCAGAAGUGAAACGCCGUAGCGCCGAUGGUAGUGGGUCUCCAUGUGAGUAGGGAACUUGUCA